CAGAGCUCGGGUUCGCCCGUCUCCACACCCUGUGUCUACGCUCUUCGUUGCUUUGGCGGGCCGUCGGCCCCCCGCCUCGGUCGCUCGCGGCUGGGGAGUGCCCGCCAGAGGACCUUUCAAACGCUUUGCAAACCGGGCCGUCCGAGUCUACAUGAAUCAGUCA
This 163-nucleotide unclassified non-coding RNA is filed under the name uncultured fungus. RNAcentral's name for it is "sequence contains ITS1". Lineage: Eukaryota; Fungi. The record is from RNAcentral.